RNAcentral lists this ribosomal RNA (1152 nucleotides) under Mactra chinensis. RNAcentral describes it as "16S ribosomal RNA". The stretch from base 549 to 1152 matches the Rfam family "Archaeal large subunit ribosomal RNA", at positions 1423 to 2730 of the family's 2987-position model. Lineage: Eukaryota; Metazoa; Mollusca; Bivalvia; Venerida; Mactridae. The record is from RNAcentral.
AAAAAUAGUAGAAAAAUCCGUUUUUGUUUGGUAUUCUGUAAGAGAUUUUAUAAUAAAAGGUCAGAUCUGAGGAGGGCAAACCAAAAUGUUUAAUAGACGUUAUUAACCAACGUACUUCUUGUAUAAUGGCUUAUAGAGUAGGAAGAUAAAUUUUUUCUCCCGAAAACUUUAGAGCUAUUUUUUUUAAUAAUAUUAUUGCAGUAAUAUGGAAAAUUAAAAAUAGGCGUGAUAUAUGUUACGAAAAGGUUGAUAUCUGGUUAAGCAGGAAAUGCAUUCAGUGCAGCAGUGAUAAUAAAUUAAUAAUAUUGAGACAGCAAUAUAAUUUUAUCCUUAGUGAAGUAAGAGGGGGUAAGCUUUUUUAUAUCCUAGGAAGAUAGUAAUUAAGUUGAAAUAGAAUUUUUAAUUUUUUAAAAUUUUUCCCAAAUUUUUUUUUUUUUUUUUUUUUUUUUUACUGCUUUUUAAAAAACAAUACUUUUUAUAAAAUUAGUAUAAGAUUAGUAGGAGUGAGUAUACAAGGUCCUGUUAAAAAAUAAUAGGAAUGAAGGAAAUAGAGAGUAUAAAUAAUUUAUCAUUGAGGAACUCGGCAAAUUGUCCCCCCGCCUGUUUAACAAAAACAUGUCUCUCCGGAAAUUUACAUGGAGAGUCGGCCCUGCCCGGUGAUAAUUUAAGUAAACGGUCGCAAUGAAGAGUUGUGCUAAGGUAGCGCAAUAAAUUGUCCUUUAAUUGGGGAAAUGAAUGAAAGGGUUGACGAGGGGGAAGCUAUCUUUUUGGUAUAGUUUGAAGUUUUCUUUUAUGUGAAAAGACUUAGAUUUUAUAAUUAGAAGAGAAGACCCCGGCGAGCUUGUUAAGGGUUACUAAGUUGAGGUAAUUAUUGAUUUUUGUUGGGGCAACGCAAAGGGAAAAGAACUCCUUUGAGUUUUAUAGGGAUCCACUUAGAGUGAACAAAGCAAAAGCUACCGCGGGGAUAACAGCGCAAUUUCUUCAGAGAGCUCAUAUCGAAGAGGAAGGUUGCGACCUCGAUGUUGGAUUAAGAUUUCCUUUUGGUGCAGGAGUUAAAAAGGUAGGACUGUUCGUCCUUUAAAAUCUUACAUGAUCUGAGUUCAGACCGGCGUGAGCUAGGUCGGUUUCUAUCUAUUAAGUACAAUUCGUCGU